RNAcentral lists this ribosomal RNA (500 nucleotides) under uncultured Halorhabdus sp. Its description in RNAcentral is "bacterial SSU rRNA". It matches the Rfam family "Archaeal small subunit ribosomal RNA", at positions 1 to 503 of the family's 1478-position model. Lineage: Archaea; Methanobacteriati; Methanobacteriota; Halobacteria; Halobacteriales; Haloarculaceae. The record is from RNAcentral.
UUCCGGUUGAUCCUGCCGGAGGCCAUUGCUAUCGGAGUCCGAUUUAGCCAUGCUAGUCGAACGAGUUCACACUCGUGGCGGAAAGCUCAGUGACACGUGGCCAAACUACCCUGUGGACGGCGAUAACUUCGGGAAACUGAAGCUAAUCGCCGGUACGGCUCUCACGCUGGAACGCGGAGAGCUGGAAACGCUCUGGCGCCACAGGAUGUGGCUGCGGCCGAUUAGGUAGACGGUGGGGUAACGGCCCACCGUGCCGAUAAUCGGUACGGGUCAUGAGAGUGAGAGCCUGGAGACGGUAUCUGAGACAAGAUACCGGGCCCUACGGGGCGCAGCAGGCGCGAAACCUUUACACUGCACGCCAGUGCGAUAAGGGGACUCCGAGUGCGAGGGCAUACAGUCCUCGCUUUUCUGUACCGUAGGGUGGUACAGGAACAAGUGCUGGGCAAGACCGGUGCCAGCCGCCGCGGUAAUACCGGCAGCACGAGUGAUGGCCGAUAUUA